Mus caroli (Ryukyu mouse) is the source of this 504-nucleotide non-coding RNA. NCBI's taxonomy places the organism in Eukaryota, Metazoa, Chordata, Mammalia, Rodentia, Muridae. The record is from RefSeq and is a predicted model, not a curated record.
AUGAGGACCAGAAGCUGGAGACCUGUGGGCAGGUGGCUCCCUCCUGCCGUGCCCAUAGAGUGUUACUGUGUACUGUGACCACAGUCUGGGGAAGACCAAUCCUGACCUGAGGCUGCCAACCAUUCUCAUUGAUGAAUUAUGAGGAUCUUGAUGGCGUCUGGUGGUUCUGCCCCUGAGGCAGGGGCGAUGGGAACGGAUGUUAGAAGCGGGGUGAAUAUGUACAUAAAACGGAUUUACGACACAUGCUGGAAACUAAAAGGCAUUUGCAGGAAUACAUGUCAAAAAGAAGAAAUUUUUCACAUUUUCUGUGGUACUCAGUCAUUGUGCUGCUUAGAGAAAAAGGAAAUGCCCGUUCUCUUCGUGAAGUAGCUGUGAGUAUUCCGGGGCCUCCUGCUGCCUCUCGACUCCUUUGUCCCCAGAGUGGUGCUACAGGGCUGGUGAACACACUGGAAGCAAGUUUGCAGCCGUUGUGCCAUCCAUCCUAUUAAAACAAUGGCUUCUGCC